GACGAGUACAUAAUGUAGAAGUAGUGGCAAGUAGCGAAGUCUCGCCGUGGAAGAGAUAACGAUAAACCGUGAGAUUCCAAUCCUUCUUACUUUACAAAUCCUUGAUAUUAUAUAUAUUAAAAAUAAUAUGUUGUAUGAUUGCCAAUGAGACAACUCCCCUCAAGAGACCAAAUGACAAAUUAUGCCUCAUCUUAUAAAUAUAAAAAUUCUAAAAUG
This 216-nucleotide long non-coding RNA is filed under the name Mytilus galloprovincialis (Mediterranean mussel). The record is from RNAcentral. Lineage: Eukaryota; Metazoa; Mollusca; Bivalvia; Mytilida; Mytilidae.